Molecule: ribosomal RNA, 253 nt
Filed under: uncultured bacterium
Lineage: Bacteria
Description: partial 16S ribosomal RNA
Rfam family: Bacterial small subunit ribosomal RNA
Source: RNAcentral
UACGUAGGGGGCAAGCGUUGUCCGGAAUCAUUGGGCGUAAAGAGCGUGUAGGCGGCCCGGUAAGUCCGCUGUGAAAGUCCAGGGCUCAACCCUGGGAUGCCGGUGGAUACUGUCGGGCUCGAGUCCGGAAGAGGCGAGUGGAAUUCCUGGUGUAGCGGUGAAAUGCGCAGAUAUCAGGAGGAACACCAAUGGCGAAGGCAGCUCGCUGGGACGGUACUGACGCUGAGACGCGAAAGCGUGGGGAGCAAACAGG